Molecule: microRNA precursor, 85 nt
Filed under: Vicugna pacos (alpaca)
Lineage: Eukaryota; Metazoa; Chordata; Mammalia; Artiodactyla; Camelidae
Description: miRNA (ENSVPAG00000016873.1)
Source: RNAcentral
CUACCUCUGUGAGUCGUUGAGUGUGUGUGAGUGUGUGUGUGUGAGUAUGCGGGUAUGCACAUGCGCCCACCCACCUCCCUCUCCC